AGAGUUUGAWCCUGGCUCAGGACGAACGCUGGCGGCGUGCCUAAUACAUGCAAGUCGAGCGAAGUUUUUCUGGUGCUUGCACUAGAAAAACUUAGCGGCGAACGGGUGAGUAACACGUAAAGAACCUGCCUCAUAGACUGGGACAACUAUUGGAAACGAUAGCUAAUACCGGAUAACAGCAUUAACUGCAUGGUUGAUGUUUGAAAGUUGGUUUUGCUAACACUAUGAGAUGGCUUUGCGGUGCAUUAGCUAGUUGGUGGGGUAAAGGCCUACCAAGGCGACGAUGCAUAGCCGACCUGAGAGGGUGAUCGGCCACACUGGGACUGAGACACGGCCCAGACUCCUACGGGAGGCAGCAGUAGGGAAUCUUCCGCAAUGGGCGAAAGCCUGACGGAGCAACGCCGCGUGAGUGAAGAAGGAUUUCGGUUCGUAAAGCUCUGUUGUUAGGGAAGAAUGAUUAUGUAGUAACUAUACAUAGUAGAGACGGUACCUAACCAGAAAGCCACGGCUAACUACGUGCCAGCAGCCGCGGUAAUA
Molecule: ribosomal RNA, 537 nt
Filed under: uncultured Gemella sp.
Lineage: Bacteria; Bacillati; Bacillota; Bacilli; Caryophanales; Gemellaceae
Description: bacterial SSU rRNA
Rfam family: Bacterial small subunit ribosomal RNA
Source: RNAcentral